Zalophus californianus (California sea lion) is the source of this 1793-nucleotide long non-coding RNA. RefSeq lists it as uncharacterized. NCBI's taxonomy places the organism in Eukaryota, Metazoa, Chordata, Mammalia, Carnivora, Otariidae. The transcript has 4 exons. The record is from RefSeq and is a predicted model, not a curated record.
GGAGACUGGAAGAUGUUAGCAGACCCUAGCCCUCUAUAUCUAAGAACACUUUAUUUCACUUCUAACUACCUUAAUGGCUAUCCUUGGACUUGCUUCUGACGGAUCGGAAAAGAUGGUUUAUUAUGAGUAACUACAUAUGAGGUUUCAAAAUAUCUUCUCCCUGCAUUAGCCCACCUUGAAUUAGAGAUCUCCUGUCCCCUAACAGGAACAGAAUUUAUCUCUGGAGGCUUGCCACAGAAUGUUCACAUCCUUCUGUAUGGUCUUCUGGGAAGAAAUUAAGCCUCUACACUUAAACACUAACAUUCUUUCUCCUCAAAGACUAUCGCUUUCCAGGAGAACUGGAAAGCUGAAGGGAGAUGAGAGCUGGAGGACAAAGAAUAAGAAUAGAGAGACACCAAUCCCAGAGGGACAGGUGAAAUGUUGCUGAGCAAAGGGGUGGAAGAAGAGAGAAGCUCAGCACUGCAUUUAGAAGAAUAUUUGUUCCAUUUUACUGGAAGGAAAACAACGCCAAUCUUUUUAUUUUUAUUUCUUAAUUAAUUUUUUAAAUUAUGUUCAGUUAGCCAGCAUAUAGUACAUCAUAAAGACAUCGCCAAUCUUUCCAAACUGUAAACUAGAUGUUAACUCUCCGGUGUAAUCUCCUUCAAUGGCUCUUCCUUACCUUUGCAAUAAAGUUAAAGUUUUAGUAUGACAGUCAAGCCAUUUCAAGAUCUGUCUACAUUUUUAGAUUCAUUUCCAUCUAUAUCCCCUUUAUAUAACCUUUUUUUUUUAGCAAUUCUGAUCUCUUUGCAGUUAUUCAAAAAAGUUAAGCUAUUCUCUCCUUCUGUUGCUUUUGUAUACUGUUUCCUCUGUCUAAAAUGCUUCCUUGAGAUCCUUUUGUCAUUUGCUAAUGUCCUUAAAGACAGGUCACAUAUACUUUCCCCUUGACAGAUUUUCUUCCUGACAUAUCACUAUGCAUCACGGUAACCCUCCUAUGCUUCCACAACACCCUGUGCAUAUCUCUAGUAGUUCUUUUUAUACUGUAAUACAAUUGUUAAUUUCCUCCCUUUCUUCCCUACUACUCUGUGUUUUUGAAUGACAGGAACUGUGUCUUAGUUUUCUUUGAAUCCCCAAUAGCUGGCAGAGUAUACCUCAGGAGACACUUAGUAAAUUCAAGAAAAAAAAAUUAACAAUUUGUCUUUCCAAGAAGUAUGUUAUAGUAGAAAAAGUAUUAUAUUGAGCUCUGCCCAUAACUAGCUAUAACUCACAAAUUAUGAACUUCAAUUAAAUAAGGGGAUCAUCUAGAUCUCUAAAGUUCCCUGUGAUUUCUGUCAACCUAGUUUCUGUUUUAUAAAUUCUUGACAGAUAAUAAAACUCCUUUAAAAAGAAUAGUCUUUAUUUCAAAUAUUUACUAAUUUACACUGGAUUUAUCUCAGUUUUCAGGUUUUACUACUGAGGUUUUCUUUAUUGGUCACAGUGGCUGUGAAGAGAAAAGUUUUCCUAACUUGAUAGCCUUAGAGCCAAGGAUCCUAUUUUACUCUGAGCCUCACUGGCAUAUGAUUUUCCUCCCUUAAGACUUUGUUAUCUGUUGCCUCUGCUUCUAUUUCUACUCUUAACUUUUACCUAGUUCUAGAACUAGUUCAGGAAGAUGUCUGCCACAUAACAGAAACUAGUGAUAGCAAAGGGGAAGAAAAGGAGAAGAUGAGCUCCAGGAGUCAUUAGUCUUUUCUUAUCCUGUCUUCUCUUGCUUGGAGUGGGGGCACACCGGUCUUUACAAAAACUUCACCCCAGUCUCUUGUUCACUACUACUCCUUCCA